AUACGGUGGGUGCAAGCGUUAUUCGGAAUCACUGGGCGUAAAGGACGCGUAGGCGGGUUGGCAAGUCAGAUGUGAAAUCCUACAGCUUAACUGUAGAACUGCAUUUGAAACUGCUAACCUAGAGUAUGGGAGGGGGAGAUGGAAUUAGUGGUGUAGGGGUAAAAUCCGUAGAUAUCACUAGGAAUACCGAAAGCGAAGGCGAUCUCCUGGAACAUAACUGACGCUAAGGCGUGAAAGCGUGGGGAGCAAACAGGAUUAGAAACCCUAGUAGUCC
Molecule: ribosomal RNA, 274 nt
Filed under: uncultured bacterium
Lineage: Bacteria
Description: partial 16S ribosomal RNA
Rfam family: Bacterial small subunit ribosomal RNA
Source: RNAcentral